Chloroflexi bacterium RBG_19FT_COMBO_48_23 is the source of this 136-nucleotide non-coding RNA. Lineage: Bacteria; Bacillati; Chloroflexota. The record is from Rfam.
UAUUAGACUUCUGUUGUGCCCAUGAUAGCAGGUGCCGUAGGGCUUAAAAGUGUGCCUGCCGAGGUGCGUUGCGACGAGUUUUCGGAACUCGGUCUAAUGUCCUUGUGUCGUGGCACAAGGAUUUUUUAUUUUUUAG